Molecule: ribosomal RNA, 467 nt
Filed under: uncultured Glomus
Lineage: Eukaryota; Fungi; Glomeromycota; Glomeromycetes; Glomerales; Glomeraceae
Description: SSU rRNA
Rfam family: Eukaryotic small subunit ribosomal RNA
Source: RNAcentral
UUCCAGCUCCAAUAGCGUAUAUUAAAGUUGUUGCAGUUAAAAAGCUCGUAGUUGAAUUUCGGGACCAAUAUGUCGGUCGUACUUUGUACGUACUAGCAUUAUUGGUUUCUCCCUUCUGAAGAACCACGAUGUCAUUAAUUUGGUGUCGUGGGGAAUCAGGACUGUUACUUUGAAAAAAUUAGAGUGUUUAAAGCAGGCUCGCGCUUGAAUACAUUAGCAUGGAAUAAUGAAAUAGGACGUUUGAUUCUAUUUUGUUGGUUUCUAGGAUCGACGUAAUGAUUAAUAGGGAUAGUUGGGGGCAUUAGUAUUCAAUUGUCAGAGGUGAAAUUCUUGAAUUUAUUGAAGACUAACUACUGCGAAAGCAUUUGCCAAGGAUGUUUUCAUUAAUCAAGAACGAAAGUUAGGGGAUCGAAGACGAUCAGAUACCGUCGUAGUCUUAACCAUAAACUAUGCCGACUAGGGAUCGG